CUGUUUUUCCAGGAGGCAAAGCUGGCUUCAAUUGGCCCCAGUCUUCAGGGCAGUUGGGCAGCUCCUGAGCAGGGGGCUGCACUCUGGCUCCCAGAAUCCUUCUGGGUGGAGCAGCAAGGAUGCCCUCUGCUUUGGAGGUACUGAGCCAGGUUCCCCUCACCUCGCACCCUUGGAAAAUCAUUUCUGAACUCCCAGGACCCAAUUUUGGAAGUGCUCCUCAAACUCUAAUGCAAAAAGGAAUCACCAGCCCAUACUUUGAAAAGAGAUUCUGAAUCAGUAGGUGGAACCUCAGAGUGCAGUUCUAACCAGCCCUCGGGUGAAGCCCAUAGAAAGGGACUACAGCAGGAAGUACUGGCAGACUAAAAACCACAGCCAACACAACCAGGGCCUACAGGGCAAAGCUUUUUCUAUUUUCUUUUCACAAACCAGACCCUGCAGUUGGCUGCUGCAGCACACCAACCACCACUAUAGGAAACGGGAGAGAAGAUCUUUGCUUGGUGAGGUAUGAAGAGUUGUGAUUUCUUGUGCCAUUAGGCAGGGAAGUAUGAAGGAAACUCUGCGCUCUUGGUUUCUGCUUUGGAUCAGUCAGAAACCCUUGUUGUUGGUACCUUGGUGCUCCAACAUCUGCCCUUUCAAAUGCUUGAAUAUACUUGGGAAAUAAAAUAUUAUUUUAUGCAGUGAAAACUUACCUCUCAGUAACAUCAUUUUAAUUUCAGUGGCCUUUAGUGAUUAAAAGAUACCCUUUAUGAUUUAUCACUAUCUCCUACUUUAUCUAUGGCUUUAGAUAUUUUUCUCUAUUUUCUAAAACACCUUUUCAUAAAUCUAGAACAGUAAUUAGCAAUGGGAGAUCAAGAGUCUUUGUCUUUUCACAUCUAAUGGCAGGAAAAGAGUAGAGUCCAUUUAUCCAAAUGAUUCAAUUGAGAAUCAAAAUUAUUUCCCCCCCCCUUUUUGAGUAAAAAGGAAAAGAAGGUUUAUUGCUAUGCUAGAAAAGGAAAAACACAGGGGACUCCUGUCCCAAAGGCUGUAAUCCUGCCCAUCAGCAGGAACAGGGAGCUUUUAAAGAGAUGAUUCAGAGAAAAUGAGUUUAGGGAGGAGAGAUCAGCAAGGAGAAGAUCAGGGAAAAGAAGGUAAGGGAAAAGAUUAAGGAGAAAAUGAGGGAGAAGAAGGUUGGGAAAAAGAAAAAAAAAACAUGUAAAUUUCAAAGCCCCAAGGGAUAUAGUAAAAGCAUCAAAUGAACCCCUGUUACAUUUUCCCACUGUCAAUUUUCAUUUCUAUGGAAAGUGGGCAAUGACAUCUCCAAGCUACUUUCUGCUGAAAGGUGGAAGUAACCCAAAGUCUUUGUUCUCUAUUUGGUGAGACAUGGACAGUUAAGGGCAUUCAGUAUCAGAACAGUCCAGAGCUCUACUGUGGCAAAUGGCAGGGGACUGGACAGGGCAUACAUAGAGCAGGGAUGCAGCCACCUUGUAUACUUGUAUGGAAGUAAGUUCCUUCAUUCUUGAGAGGGGCUCUUUGUCAUGUUCCACCCUCUGCCUUUCAUAAUAGCCCUCUAGUUUUCUCACUCUAAGUAAAACAAGAUAAAUGGGAAAUCUCAAUUUCCCAUAACAAAUUAUGUACUUUCAAUGAUAGGUGUGGCAUGAACUCACUUAAGGGAUUCUGAAAGAUAGGGAUAGAACUGAAGCCAGGGCCCAAGGCAGAAGCUAGUGCUGGUAACAGAUAAGUUCAGAAUGGGAAGGCAAAAGUCAAGGCUUCACCUAAAGGCAAAUAGACAAAAAAAAAAAAAAGAGGUUUUAUGUUUUCCCAUUCACUGAGUGUUUUGCUCUCUUACUUAACAACUAACUGAAUAAAUUCAUGAAAUGACUACUUUUUUUUUCUUUAUUUGAAGUGAGGAUAAAAUGUCAUUAAGAAAUAUUCCCUCACAAUCCAUAAAGCCAAUUAAGACAAAUAUCAUUAUGUUAUUAUAGACCAAAUAAGGUUGAUUUACUUUGCAAAACUUCUCAAAUGUCUAGAAAAGGAAAGGCACUGAAAGGAAAUUGUCCCUGUGUCAAGGCAUAUUCCAGGCUCAAGAUCUGGGCACCACUCCACCCUGUGCCUUUCCAACCCAACCAAGGAAGGUGUGAAUCUGCAGGGCUCCUGUGUGGGGAUGGCAGCACAGGACUGUGGAUCAGAAACAGAAAUGAGUUUCAGAGACCAAGAAAGCAGGAGCAGGCUGUGGG
Molecule: long non-coding RNA, 2213 nt
Filed under: Marmota monax (woodchuck)
Lineage: Eukaryota; Metazoa; Chordata; Mammalia; Rodentia; Sciuridae
Source: RNAcentral